Long non-coding RNA from Myotis brandtii (Brandt's bat), 577 nucleotides. RefSeq lists it as uncharacterized. The record is from RefSeq and is a predicted model, not a curated record. Lineage: Eukaryota; Metazoa; Chordata; Mammalia; Chiroptera; Vespertilionidae. The transcript has 2 exons.
GUUCAUUCACCGAGCUUUCUGUGGCCUUGUCUGGGAGCUCUUCCUCUCGCCUUUCACCACUUAGCACUUUCAUAAUUAGGGUCUUCACAGGCUCUUGGGCAGAUCUGACCCAUAGAAUCUGGAAGUGAGAGAGUUGGGCCCAGCUUCCCACCAACCUCCAAGGCCAGUGCUCCUCACAGAGCCCUUAUGCAAACUUCUGCUGAAGGUGGGCUGGGAAGGGCCUGUGACAGGCCAGCAGCCAAGGGCACCUUCACAGGGUCAGCGUGUCUACCAACCCUGCCAACCCUGCUUCAUCUUGCGAGGGCAUUACAAAACCUGAGGUAGAGAAGUUGGACUGAUUUUUUUUCCCGUUUCUUUUUUCCCUUGUAUAGCCUUCUUUUUUAAAUUUUAUUGUGAACGUAAUACAUAUAUUUACUAUUGAAAAUAGUAAAGGCCCAAAGAAGGACAUAAACCUUACCCUUAAUUCAGUCUCUCAGAUAUAAUCAAUGUUAGUAUUUUGGUAUCUGUAUCUCCAGUCUUUUCCCGACUUGUUCCUAUAUCGUGACCUUGCAUCCAUUUUAAUAAAUAGUCCUCUGAA